UGCAUGGAUGUCUUGGUCCAAACGAAAAAAUUAAAAGCUAAUAAUGACUGAUGAUACGCAAAACGAAAAGGCAGUGCAUUGGGUUUUGUAGAUCUCACGUUUAUAAAUCCAAAAAUCUCAUGUCAUUUAAAACAAAAGCAAGGUAUCAGUUUGGAAAAAACAUAAACAAAAGAGGAACUUCAAAAGUCACAGAUGACAUCCAUAUUUUCCGUUUCUGAAAAAUCCACCUUCUUGCUCAAAGAUCAAACUUCAUCUUCGAACAACAACGAAAACUCAACAGCAUGACAACAAUACGAACACUCAAGGAAAACAAUCAUGGAGCUAUAUCAAAGGUGAAAUAGAUCAAAGAUGGAACUAACUGGGUGCAGCUUGGAUUGAUCGACGAGAAUGUAGUGGAGGUCUGUUCGUACGGAGGAUGUCUGGAGAUUUUUGUCCUUAUCCCAGCUUGGUGGUCCCUCCCUCAAUUCCUCGUUUUACCCUUUUACUGCUUGAUUUUCACUGCUUUGUUACGUGAACCUGUUGUAAAUUCGUGUCUUUGAAAGAUGAGGGCGAAAGACUUCUCUCAAUGUCUCCUUCAAACACUGUAACCAAUGUCGCUGGACUGACCAGCUGGGAACACCAAUAUCAUGCCAGACUGCAAUUUAUCCAACUCACAACUUAUUAAAUACUAUUAUUUUUUGUAUACACUCAUUUGUGUCUCCAUCAUGUACUGCUGUCGUACAUUGAAUUCUCUGUUGAGUGUGAAAUGUUAAGAUUAAAUGCAGACCGCAACUACAGAAAAAUACAAGAUCCACUACUCCACUUGUCCACUUAAUUCUGCUUCCUCAUCCUCGACAUCCAUCUCUUGUUCCACGCCUUUGACCUCAGGUACAUAAUGCAUCAGCAUAUUCUCAAUGUCUGAUUUCAGAGUCACCGAAGAACUUGGGGAGACACUACACGCUCCUUGCAUUUUACUGGAUUUUAACUCUUCCAACCUAGAUACUUCCACCUCCCACCGCGGAUAAGGUGUAUCCAUCAGGUUCGAGAGCUCCAACAUUGUUGUUGGACUAAUGACGAAUGUGCGCCGAUGUUACUCUCACUGGUCUUUGGUGGUAGGACCAUCCUUGACUGCAUCAGCAGAAUGAUCUUUGCCAUUAAAUAUGCAUUUGUAGGAUGUGAUAAAUCAAUAUUAUUCUCACGUACCAAUGCCUGCAUGGCUUGCAAUUGAGCAGCUACUGCAAUCUGGCUGUUCAUAACAUUUUGGAUGCCAUGUUGUGCUUCUGGUGUUUGAAUGCCAUGUUGUGCUUCUGGUGUUUGAAUGGGUCUUAUCUGUUGUCCUUGCUCCAUCUUCUUUUCUCCACGGACAUUGUGUUCAGAUGCAGGUUUAACAUUCCCAUCUUAGCAUGCUGUUGCGGAUGAAUUCCCAAAGUAGGCUUUUGUUACGCAUCCUGGAAAGCAUAUUGAAGGUAUGCUUAGUGGACAAGGUUUAGCAUUUGCUGCUGCUUGCUAUUUUGACCUCUGAGCUGAGCAUCUUGAUUGGAACCAUGUAGCUGAGCUAAAUCGGCGAAUUUUUGAGACUGGUGGGGCAGUUGCAUAGCAUUGGGUUGUUGGAAAUUGUUACUCCCAAAUACACCUUGACGCCCUGCCUGAUAAUCUAAAAAUGCUUCAUUUCCUUCAGGCUUUCUUAGCAGCUUUAACCUCUUUGUCAAUUUCAGCAGAAACACAUUUUAUUCCAUCAUUACAACCGGGAUGAUAAAUACUGUUCUUGGCAUAACUCUCAAAGCCUUGUAAUAUUGUUACCAAAUUACAAGGAACACCAAAAUAGUUUCCUAGAACAACUUUUGAUGUAGAAUUUGCAUUCGGGCCUAUAACUGCAAUCGAAUUUGUUGAUUUUGGAAGUGGGAGAAUUGAGGCAGUGUUUUUUUAAAAGUACAAUGCCACUUCUAGCAGCUUCUAGAGCUAUGUUGAGAUUUUGUUUAGAGCAUACUUGAUUUGGACCAAUUGUCCCAUACUUGAGUUUGGUUGGAUUUCCAUCGAAUAAUCCUAGUCUAAUUUGAAUGGAGAAUAGAUUGUGAAGGGCGCAGUCGAUUUGAGAUAUUGGUACUUUAUUUUGUAACACUGCUGAUUUAGCAAGCUUUGUUAAGUUAUCACCACAUUCUACACCCAUUCCAGCUUUAAGUGUAUCGGCGACAACAUCCUCUGGUGUUUUUGCAUAACCUUGCAUAUCAUGUAGGAUAGCUACCGGUGCACAAUCAGAUGUAAUAUACCCAUUGAAAUUCCACUUUUGUCUUGCGGUAUUUUCAACAUGCACCAGUAAAGAAUGCAGGGGUUCUAGUUUAUGUGUUUCAGCAAACCCUGAAUAUAUAUCAUUGGAUUUAUGAUGAAGCUUCCCAUUGAUUA
Molecule: long non-coding RNA, 2379 nt
Organism: Lathyrus oleraceus (garden pea)
Lineage: Eukaryota; Viridiplantae; Streptophyta; Magnoliopsida; Fabales; Fabaceae
Exons: 7
Source: RefSeq, a predicted model, not a curated record